GCUGGGAUGGUAGAGCGGUCAAAUACGUCAGACUGUAAAUCUGAUGCCUCACGGCUACGCAGGUUCGAAUCCUGCUCCCAGCA
This 83-nucleotide transfer RNA is filed under the name Candidatus Collierbacteria bacterium. Its description in RNAcentral is "tRNA-Tyr". It matches the Rfam family "tRNA". From Rfam's summary of the family: Transfer RNA (tRNA) molecules are approximately 80 nucleotides in length. The record is from RNAcentral. Lineage: Bacteria; Candidatus Collieribacteriota.